RNAcentral lists this ribosomal RNA (466 nucleotides) under uncultured bacterium. RNAcentral's name for it is "partial 16S ribosomal RNA". It matches the Rfam family "Bacterial small subunit ribosomal RNA", at positions 28 to 507 of the family's 1533-position model. The record is from RNAcentral.
GACGAACGCUGGCGGCGUGCUUAACACAUGCAAGUCGAACGGAAAGGCCCUGCGUUUGUGGUGUUCUCGAUUGGCGAACGGGUGCGUAACACGUGAGUAACCUGCCCUUGACUUUGGGAUAACUUCAGGAAACUGGGGCUAAUCCCGGAUAGGAGCUCCUGCUGCAUGGUGGGCGUUGGAAAGUCUCGGCGGUUGGGGAUGGACUCGCGGCUUAUCAGUUUGUUGGUGGGGUAGUGGCUUACCAAGGCUUUGACGGGUAGCCGGCCUGAGGGUGACCGGCCACAUUGGGACUGAGAUACGGCGCAGAGUCCUACGGGAGGCAGCAGUGGGGAAUAUUGCACAAUGGGCCGAAGCCUGAUGCAGCAACGCCGCGUGCGGGAUGACGGCCUUCGGGUUGUAAACCGCAUUCGCCUGAGACGAAGCGUGAGUGACGGUAAUGGGUAAAGAGGCACGGGCUAACUACGUG